GAAAAAGAGGAGUGGCGAACGGGUGAGUAACACGUGGGUAACCUGCCCAUCAGAAGGGGAUAACACUUGGAAACAGGUGCUAAUACCGUAUAACAAUCGAAACCGCAUGGUUUUGAUUUGAAAGGCGCUUUCGGGUGUCGCUGAUGGAUGGACCCGCGGUGCAUUAGCUAGUUGGUGAGGUAACGGCUCACCAAGGCCACGAUGCAUAGCCGACCUGAGAGGGUGAUCGGCCACAUUGGGACUGAGACACGGCCCAAACUCCUACGGGAGGCAGCAGUAGGGAAUCUUCGGCAAUGGACGAAAGUCUGACCGAGCAACGCCGCGUGAGUGAAGAAGGUUUUCGGAUCGUAAAACUCUGUUGUUAGAGAAGAACAGGGAUGAGAGUAACUGUUCAUCCCUUGACGGUAUCUAACCAGAAAGCCACGGCUAACUACGUGCCAGCAGCCGCGGUAAUACGUAGGUGGCAAGCGUUGUCCGGAUUUAUUGGGCGUAAAGCGAGCGCAGGCGGUUUCUUAAGUCUGAUGUGAAAGCCCCCGGCUCAACCGGGGAGGGUCAUUGGAAACUGGGAGACUUGAGUGCAGAAGAGGAGAGUGGAAUUCCAUGUGUAGCGGUGAAAUGCGUAGAUAUAUGGAGGAA
Molecule: ribosomal RNA, 636 nt
Filed under: uncultured Bacilli bacterium
Lineage: Bacteria; Bacillati; Bacillota; Bacilli
Description: bacterial SSU rRNA
Rfam family: Bacterial small subunit ribosomal RNA
Source: RNAcentral